Molecule: small RNA, 557 nt
Filed under: Pongo abelii (Sumatran orangutan)
Lineage: Eukaryota; Metazoa; Chordata; Mammalia; Primates; Hominidae
Description: processed transcript
Source: RNAcentral
ACACUCUCCAGCCCCGGCAGAACAGAAGCUGCAGCCACGUGGGCAUGUCACCUCUGCAUCCAGGUUUUCCCUCUACAGUCUUGGCCCCUGGGAUCAUAGCCUUGCUCACGUUCUCCUGUUGGCCCCUCUUGAGCAGAAGUGUCUUUUAAACACGGCACAUACUGAGCCAGCCUAUCAUUAAUUCUCACUGCACUGUUACUAUAACAACAGUACCAAGGUGGCUGUGAAAACCCUGAAGCCAGGCACUAUGUCUGUGCAAGCCUUCCUGGAAGAAGCCAACCUCAUGAAGACCCUGCAGCACGACAAGCUUGUGAGGCUCUACGCUGUGGUCACCAGGGAGGAGCCCAUUUACAUCAUCACCGAGUACAUGGCCAAGGGUAGUUUGCUGGAUUUCCUGAAGAGUGAUGAAGGUGGCAAAGUGCUGCUUCCAAAGCUCAUUGACUUUUCUGCUCAGAUUGCAGAGGGAAUGGCAUACAUCGAGCGGAAGAACUACAUUCACCGGGACCUGCGAGCAGCUAAUGUCCUGGUCUCCGAGUCACUCAUGUGCAAAAUUGCAG